AACGCGAAGAACCUUACCUGGGCUCGAACGGCUCACGAACGUCCUUGGAAACAGGGAUUUCCCGCAAGAGACUGCUGCGGAGGUGCUGCAUGGCUGUCGUCAGCUCGUGUCGUGAGAUGUUGGGUUAAGUCCCGCAACGAGCGCAACCCUUAUCGUUAGUUGCCAGCGAGUCAAGUCGGGCACUCUAGCGAAACCGCCUCGGAUAACGGGGAGGAAGGUGGGGAUGACGUCAAGUCCUCAUGGCCUUUAUGUCCAGGGCUACACACGUGCUACAAUGGCCGGUACAAACCGUCGCAAACUCGCGAGAGGGAGCUAAUCGGAAAAAGCCGGCCUCAGUUCGGAUUGGAGUCUGCAACUCGACUCCAUGAAGCUGGAAUCGCUAGUAAUCGCGGAUCAGCACGCCGCGGUGAAUACGUUCCCGGGCCUUGUACACACCGCUCGUC
RNAcentral lists this ribosomal RNA (443 nucleotides) under uncultured bacterium. RNAcentral describes it as "bacterial SSU rRNA". It matches the Rfam family "Bacterial small subunit ribosomal RNA", at positions 958 to 1398 of the family's 1533-position model. The record is from RNAcentral.